AAAAAAAAAAGAAGUUAUCUGAUCCAGUCACCCCUGUUUACCAAUGAGGAAUCUAGACCCAGAUGAAGUUAAAGGACUUACCCAAGAGUACCCAACAACUCUCUGGCCACCCCCAGGCUCCCAUCUUUGUGUCUUUCCUGUGUGGGCUGUUCCCUGAAAUUCUUCCUGAUAGGCACAUUGCCUUUCCCUUUGAUUUUAAAUUCUUGGCUCACAUGACAUGCCCGGACUAUAUCGUGUAAUGUGACCUUGAAAAAUAAUUUACGUACAAGUCUUGAAAGCAAAUCAAGUUUUAAAACAAAGUAGCACCUACUCUGUCGCAGCCUUGACAUCUAUUACAAAGUAAAUGCUGGCUCUUUAAUUUCCCUAAUCAAGGCUGUUCCUAUUUAGCCAGCCUCCUCAAGGGGUCCCAGCACCAGCCCCACUCCAACGCCUGAUGAAGCUCCAGAACAGGUGAGAAAAAUGAGAGGGUCCUGCCCAGGGCUCUGGGAGUCGGCCCUCACUGCCUGCCCUUCAGACAGCAAGACAGAAAAGGCAUUCAUUUUCUUCCUCCACGUCAUGAUACCAACCGAAAUUACCUUUAAAUGAGGAAGAAGGUCAUUAUUUAAUCAAUAGGAUUGCGUCAAUUGAGGAAAAUUUGUCUCCAGUGUAAACAAGCGGAACGUCUUUGCGCUCUAUGAAAACAAGGUUAAAUUACUUGCAGAUCCAGGCGACGUGGAGAGAUGUAGGAAGUGAACCUGCAGCCUGACACAUUCAAGGUCUGGGAACCGAAAAUAAUAGGAAUUGUUCUUAUUUUUCCAGUGGAAUCGAGCACAGAGAUGGGCACGCCUCUUUACAGAACCAAAGAUUCAGAACCGUGCCUUACCCUUUGCUUAUGAGGCGGAGGAGGAGGUAGAGGAGGAAGAGAAAGAACCACCACAAAGAGAGAUGGCAACAAAAGACAAAAUGCUUGGAGGAACAACAGACACCCUGCGACCAUGAAGAUAGGACAAAGUCACAUACUAAGGUCUGAGGCCCAGGGUCACCAAAAACCCAGGAGACCUGAGGCCGGCUGGGCCUGAGAGGCACAAGCAGGCUAAGGAGUGGACAGAAGAGAAGCCUAGAGGAUGAAAGCCAGCUCUGCAAAGAGCUUCCAAGAGUCUUCCUGCCACAGAAAUUCCACUUGGCCACUGAAAUGGCCCUGGCCCUGGGCCUGGAGAGAGGUGGCGACAAGCUGCUCACGGCAAUGACUUUCAGUCAACAUAUCUUGCCUGUGCUUCUAAGGGUGGAGAUGCAAUUGUGAGUAGCUCACUGGGUCAGGCAGGUCACAAACCAAGCUCCUCCCACACAGUGAUUUCACAGAGACAGAGAGAAGGAAGGGAAGGAGGUUCCCAGCUCUAGGGAUUCCUUAGGUCAAGGAGGGACAGGGUCCCUGUACUUGGGGACCCCCCAGUCUGACGGGAAGAUACAAGUCAACCCUCUUAGAGCCGUGGAAUGAAUGCCCCCUACAGCUCCUCUCUUCAGGAAGGAAAUCCAGUCUGAUGGAAGAGACGUGGCCCCUGUUGUAUCAUUCUUGCCUUCUCACCUAUGUCACACAAGGGAGUGAAGGAGGUGGCAGGCCCUGGGAUAGGUCUAUUUCUGAGGUGAAUGGAGGCUCUCAGGGGACGUUCCCACAGUCCUGCUGUCAAGGGCCCCUUCCCCCACCCCCCCCUCCCCGCCACGAUGCCUUACCCACUGGAAUGAAUCCUGAGCUCUGAGCCUAUUCCUAACACAGAAUGCUGACCCCUUUGUCACGUCCCGCUUUCCCUCCAACUUUGUUUUUUGUUAUUUUUCCCACCCAGACUUCCCCCCCGCCCACUUGCCAUUUCCCAAGCUCGCCCGGGGAGACUAGACUCAGCGGCCCACUGGUGAUCUUGUUUUACAUGAGACAUUUCCAAAAAAGACCAAAAAAUCCUUUCCAGGAAAAUGCCAUUUUAAAAAGUCAGCUCCAGACACUGCGGCAACAUUAGGAAAACAAAGGACUUGGCAGAAAGGUUUUCUGCAUGGAGACUUUCUCUCGAAAAUACCUUUUCCAAAUUGUCUCCAGUGGGGAUGACUCCAAGGGUCAGUUCUGGAGCACCCAGGCAAUUGCAGACAGAGUCACUUCUGGUUUGUACACUGUCCCAGGUCUUUCCUUACCUGAUACCACCCUGGGAUCUUCCAGGCUUAAACAAAGAACCCCUUCCAAGGGUCCCCAAAGGAAGCAGCUGUCCCUGAGGGUCAAGAAAUAAUGCUGCUUCCUCCCUCCAGAGGGGACUCCUUAGCCCCUCUCUUGCCACCGUCACUAAGCAGGGGGCCCAGGUUAGGAGCUGGAGGGACAUAGUGCGCUUAGUAGAGAGCUUGUCUUCUCUUAUCAUCCAAGUGAGAGGAAUACACAGCUUCCCCUGGGACAUACAUAGUGGUGUUCCCCUUUUUGCAUGUAUCAGGUAUAAUUAAUCAGGUUGACGUCACAUAUAUAAUAAUAAUGGCCAUUAUUUAUUAAACGCUCCUGAUGUGUCCAC
This is a long non-coding RNA of Cercocebus atys (sooty mangabey), 2516 nucleotides long. RefSeq lists it as uncharacterized. The record is from RefSeq and is a predicted model, not a curated record. NCBI's taxonomy places the organism in Eukaryota, Metazoa, Chordata, Mammalia, Primates, Cercopithecidae. The transcript has 3 exons.